RNAcentral lists this ribosomal RNA (429 nucleotides) under Bacteroidota bacterium. Its description in RNAcentral is "Bacteroidetes bacterium partial 16S ribosomal RNA". It matches the Rfam family "Bacterial small subunit ribosomal RNA", at positions 355 to 776 of the family's 1533-position model. The record is from RNAcentral. Lineage: Bacteria; Pseudomonadati; Bacteroidota.
UAGGGAAUCUUCGGCAAUGGGGGGAACCCUGACAGAGCAACGCCGCGUGAGUGAAGAAGGUUUUCGGAUCGUAAAGCUCUGUUGUUAAGGAAGAACGAGUGUGAGAAUGGAAAGUUCAUGCUGUGACGGUACUUAACCAGAAAGGGACGGCUAACUACGUGCCAGCAGCCGCGGUAAUACGUAGGUCCCGAGCGUUGUCCGGAUUUAUUGGGCGUAAAGCGAGCGCAGGCGGUUAGAAAAGUCUGAAGUGAAAGGCAGUGGCUCAACCAUUGUAGGCUUUGGAAACUGUUUAACUUGAGUGCAGAAGGGGAGAGUGGAAUUCCAUGUGUAGCGGUGAAAUGCGUAGAUAUAUGGAGGAACACCGGUGGCGAAAGCGGCUCUCUGGUCUGUAACUGACGCUGAGGCUCGAAAGCGUGGGGAGCGAACAGG